AAGUCGUAACAAGGUUUCCGUAGGUGAACCUGCGGAAGGAUCAUUAUUGAAUAACUUUGGCGUUGGUUGUAGCUGGCUUCUCGAAGCAUUGUGCACACCCGUCAUUUUUAUCUUUCCACCUGUGCACCAAAUGUAGAUCUGGAUAACUCUCGCUUUCCCAAGCGGAAUUGAGGAUUGCUGCGUCUAACGGCCGGCUUUCCUUAAAUUUCCAGGUCUAUGUCUUUUACACACCCCAAUUGUAUGAUAACGAAUGUAGUCAAUGGGCUUCAUGCCUAUAAAACAAGAUACAACUUUCAGCAACGGAUCUCUUGGUUCUC
Molecule: unclassified non-coding RNA, 317 nt
Filed under: Psathyrella sp.
Lineage: Eukaryota; Fungi; Basidiomycota; Agaricomycetes; Agaricales; Psathyrellaceae
Description: partial internal transcribed spacer region
Rfam family: Eukaryotic small subunit ribosomal RNA (bases 1-46)
Source: RNAcentral